UGCUGGAGGUAUCAGAAGUGCGAAUGCUGACAUAAGUAACGAUAAAGCGGGUGAAAAGCCCGCUCGCCGGAAGACCAAGGGUUCCUGUCCAACGUUAAUCGGGGCAGGGUGAGUCGACCCCUAAGGCGAGGCCGAAAGGCGUAGUCGAUGGGAAACGGGUUAAUAUUCCCGUACUUGGUGUUGCUGCGAAGGGGGGACGGAGAAGGCUAUGUUGGCCGGGCGACGGUUGUCCCGGUUUAAGCGUGUAGGUGUGUGUUCCAGGUAAAUCCGGUUCACUUUAACACUGAGGCGUGAUGACGAGGCACUACGGUGCUGAAGCAACAAAUGCCCUGCUUCCAGGAAAAGCCUCUAAGCAUCAGGUAACAUCAAAUCGUACCCCAAACCGACACAGGUGGUCAGGUAGAGAAUACCAAGGCGCUUGAGAGAACUCGGGUGAAGGAACUAGGCAAAAUGGUGCCGUAACUUCGGGAGAAGGCACGCUGACACGUAGGUGAAGUGAUUUACUCACGGAGCUGAAGUCAGUCGAAGAUACCAGCUGGCUGCAACUGUUUAUUAAAAACACAGCACUGUGCAAACACGAAAGUGGACGUAUACGGUGUGACGCCUGCCCGGUGCCGGAAGGUUAAUUGAUGGGGUCAGCGCAAGCGAAGCUCCUGAUCGAAGCCCCGGUAAACGGCGGCCGUAACUAUAACGGUCCUAAGGUAGCGAAAUUCCUUGUCGGGUAAGUUCCGACCUGCACGAAUGGCGUAAUGAUGGCCAGGCUGUCUCCACCCGAGACUCAGUGAAAUUGAACUCGCUGUGAAGAUGCAGUGUACCCGCGGCAAGACGGAAAGACCCCGUGAACCUUUACUAUAGCUUGACACUGAACAUUGAGCCUUGAUGUGUAGGAUAGGUGGGAGGCUUUGAAGUGUGGACGCCAGUCUGCAUGGAGCCGACCUUGAAAUACCACCCUUUAAUGUUUGAUGUUCUAACGUGGACCCGUAAUCCGGGUUGCGGACAGUGUCUGGUGGGUAGUUUGACUGGGGCGGUCUCCUCCUAAAGAGUAACGGAGGAGCACGAAGGUUGGCUAAUCCUGGUCGGACAUCAGGAGGUUAGUGCAAUGGCAUAAGCCAGCUUGACUGCGAGCGUGACGGCGCGAGCAGGUGCGAAAGCAGGUCAUAGUGAUCCGGUGGUUCUGAAUGGAAGGGCCAUCGCUCAACGGAUAAAAGGUACUCCGGGGAUAACAGGCUGAUACCGCCCAAGAGUUCAUAUCGACGGCGGUGUUUGGCACCUCGAUGUCGGCUCAUCACAUCCUGGGGCUGAAGUAGGUCCCAAGGGUAUGGCUGUUCGCCAUUUAAAGUGGUACGCGAGCUGGGUUUAGAACGUCGUGAGACAGUUCGGUCCCUAUCUGCCGUGGGCGCUGGAGAACUGAGGGGGGCUGCUCCUAGUACGAGAGGACCGGAGUGGACGCAUCACUGGUGUUCGGGUUGUCAUGCCAAUGGCACUGCCCGGUAGCUAAAUGCGGAAGAGAUAAGUGCUGAAAGCAUCUAAGCACGAAACUUGCCCCGAGAUGAGUUCU
Molecule: ribosomal RNA, 1558 nt
Rfam family: Bacterial large subunit ribosomal RNA